Molecule: long non-coding RNA, 647 nt
Filed under: Anser brachyrhynchus (Pink-footed goose)
Lineage: Eukaryota; Metazoa; Chordata; Aves; Anseriformes; Anatidae
Description: lncRNA (ENSABRG00000005743.1)
Source: RNAcentral
CUGCUGGCUGCAGCCGGAGCGUGGCCUCUCCAGGCCUCCAGCCUCGCUGCCAGGAGGUCCCUGGCCCACACAGGCUCUCCCCGAGGGUCCUGCAGCUGGCAAGCCACUUGCAGACCGAAAACACGUGGCCACAGCUGUGAGUGAAAAUGAACCUGAGCAACACAGUGCCACUCUCGGAGGUGCGAGCUGAAGGAGGUAUUGUGAGACGCUGCAGCCAAAACUCCAUCUUGAUAACAUUUUUAUAGGGGUGAAACUACAAAGAGUAACUCAGCAGUUGCCAGCACGGCUGUGUUAGUAUGAGAGAAUAGCCAGAAGCAUCACUGCUCCAAAUCCAGCUUCAGUGAGAAGUGACUUGAACUGCGGCUGAGCUCAGUCUUCAGAGGCAGCUGCCGUGCUUCCCUUAAACCACAGGUUCACGUAGGAAGCCCAUGGCAGACUUGCAGGCUUGCAGGCAGCGUGUUGCCCAGUUGUUCCCUUUGCAUUAAAACAACAGAAAUACACGUUGAUCAUUUUGGGGGAUUCAUCCAAAAGGCAUGCCCAUCUACAUGACUGGCCACUCAGCUCCUUUGGAUCACAAAUGAGCCUUGAUGCACCGAUGCUUCACUGAACUGCAUAUAUCUGUAUAUACAGAUAUUUUGGGACAGAGA